UAUUUAUAUUAAUAAUCCCUUAGCAACGAUUUCAUGUAAAGAGAUUGUCCAGUCAACUGAUGGUAGCGGUGACUGUCCAGGCGACACACGUACUUAGGUAUCGUCAUGAGCUAAUGUUCACAUGUAAACAGCAGCUCAUGUAAAGAGAUUGUCCAGUCAACUGAUGGUAGCGGUGACUGUCCAGGCGAUACGUACUUAGGUAUCGUCAUGAGCUAAUGUUCACAUGUAAACAGCAGCUCAUGUAAAGAGAUUGUCCAGUCAACUGAUGGUAGCGGUGACUGUCCAGGAGACACACGUACUUAGGUAUCGUCAUGAGCUAAUGUUCACAUGUAAACAGCAGCUCAUGUAAAGAGAUUGUCCAGUCAACUGAUGGUAGCGGUGACUGUCCAGGCGACACACGUACUUAGGUAUCGUCAUGAGCUAAUGUUCACAUGUAAACAGCAGCUCAUUUAAAGAGAUUGUCCAGUCAACUGAUGGUAGCGGUGACUGUCCAGGCGACACACGUACUUAGGUAUCGUCAUGAGCUAAUGUUCACAUGUAAACAGCAGCUCAUGUAAAGAGAUUGUCCAGUCAACUGAUGGUAGCGGUGACUGUCCAGGCGACACACGUACUUAGGUAUCGUCAUGAGCUAAUGUUCACAUGUAAACAGCAGCUCAUGUAAAGAGAUUGUCCAGUCAACUGAUGGUAGCGGUGACUGUCCAGGCGACACACGUACUUAGGUAUCGUCAUGAGCUAAUGUUCACAUGUAAACAGCAGCUCAUGUAAAGAGAUUGUCCAGACAACUGAUGGUAGCGGUGACUGUCCAGGCGACACACGUACUUAGGUAUCGUCAUGAGCUAAUGUUCACAUGUAAACAGCAGCUCAUGUAAAGAGAUUGUCCAGUCAACUGAUGGUAGCGGUGACUGUCCAGGCGACACACGUACUUAGGUAUCGUCAUGAGCUAAUGUUCACAUGUAAACAGCAGCUCAUGUAGUGUAGAGAUGGACUUAAAUCUCUACAUACGCCUUUUUAAUGUACAUCCGUGAUUAUUAUGUCGGAUUUGUACAUUAGGGAUAGUUGUGAACAAGUAUUUUUUAUAGUUUUUAUGUAUGUGACCAUUUUAUGAAAAGCAAUAAAUGAAAUAUAUAUUAUAUUUCAGACUCAAAAUGAGCUGAAACUAUGUUAUAAUAAGUAUAUUUUGUUAAUGGUCAUGUGCAUAGGUUUGUUUUUAGGAUUCAUUUUAAACACAGAUCCUUUUAGGUCCCUAUUACAUGGGACUUAUAACAUUACUAGUGAAUAGUAGGUGUUGUACAAAAUUCUAUAUUGUUUUGACGAAAUGAGGUGUUUUAAUCGUUAUAUAUUUUUUGCGUUAACCCUCAGUACUAUGGUUAUAUAGCUAGGACUAGAGUGAAAAUUCGUUGUGUGAGUGAGGUUACCGGAGGCCCAAUUACCCCCCUUCCCAAUCUCCGAUUCCCCAACAACCCUUAAAUUCCUAACAUCCAAAAGGCCGGCAACGCACUUGUAACGCUUCUAGUGUUUCUGAGCCUUACUCAAACGUUUAAUGAUUACUUAAACUAUUCCUUAGUAACGAUUUUGUACCGAAAACAAUCGCUAAGGACUGGGUUAAGUAACCAUUAAAUGUUUCUGAUCACAGAAAAUUAUUAAAACUAAAUCGUAUAUGUUUUUAUAGAGAUUUUGUCUGUCAGCCAUUCAAGUCGGAGCUCACUUAGGCAAUAAACCUUUAUAAUUACGAUUUUAGCUAUGAUACAUGAAAAAUAUAUAUUAAAAUAAUUAUUGUAUAUGGUUCUUGAAACUGAAAACGAAUGUUAGGUGUGCGAUGGGCCUUUUUUUCUUAGUUUUAAGUGUGCUUUAUUUCUUAUUUUUUUGUUGGGCAACACAGUUGUGGUAUGUUGCUAUUAAAAAAAUAUUGAAAUAUUUUGACAAUAUGGCUGCUUUUUAUCGAUCAUGUCGAUAGUACUAUCAGCUUUUGUUGGUUUUUCUUUAGAAAAUUCCCAGCUUUUUAUUCACGGCUUACCGUUUCUUUUUUUUAUUUGAACGCUUAGCCGCUUAUUUUUGAUUGGUUGUGUUUAACAAUCAAGGCAAGAUUCUCUUAAAAAAUGACGUUUUUCGUGCAUUUUUCUGCACAAUUUUUUUCUAUAUAUUUUCCCCAGUGACAUGCUUUAUUCCGCUUUUUAAUUCAACAUACCAUGGCGACGUUGCGAUUCUGUUUAAUAUAUAAACCUUCGUGAUUAAGAAUAUAAAAUAAUAAUUAUAAUACUAAAUAGUACCUACGCUUCGAUCGCUUCGAAAACCCGACAAAAUAGUUCCUAUAAUUAUUUAAACGUUUUACUUAAUUUGUUAAUUAUGAAGAAAGCAAUGUAAUAUUUUGAUAUUGACGCAAAAAUUUUUGUUUUACCACGACAAAAAGAGAUUUUUCUCAAUAAAAAUCUAUGAAUUCUUCAGUUUCUUGUAUCUUAACCGUUUGUUAUAUAUAACAAUGAUUUAAAUUUUUCAAUGUUUUCUAACUAAACACAAAUAUUUUUGCGCCAAUAUACCCCAGUUUUUUUGUUUAUUUACCCGUCCUAAUGUAAUAGAAACAUGAUGUUUACCUUAAAAUUUCUUUAUUAUUUUAUAUCGAGACAAAUUAUAUAAGAAGCGAUCAUUAGCUGCGACGUUAUAUUUAUAUGCGGGAACUCAUAAGGGCUAAAAACAGCAGCUCAUCUGGUGUAGAGAUUGUCCAGUCAACUGAUGGUAGCGGUGACUGUCCAGGCGACACACGUACUUAGGUAUCGUCAUGAGCUAAUGUUCACAUGUAAACAGCAGCUCAUGUAGUGUAGAUGUCCAGUCAACUGAUGGUAGCGGUGACUGUUCAAGUUGUUAAGAUGAUAUAGGUAAUUUUUAUUAUGAGUGAUCCGUAUGUAGUCAAUAAAAAUCAUGCGUAUAUGAUUGUAAAAUGUAAAAAUUAUUGGUUUGAUUUCACUUUUUGCUCUAAACACGUUGUUUGUAUACUAAAUUAUAAUAUUUAGAUGUUAUUUCACUAGAUAUUAGUUAAGUUUUAAAUAAAAGUGAGAUGUAGUUUUAGCUUAUAAUUUUGUAUUGUCAAAUUGUCAGUUGUGUAGUAAACGCAGGACUUAUAUUUUAAUGUUUUAAAGAUUGAUUCAAAUCUGUCUUUAAUUGGUUUUGUUGGUUAUUUCUUAAAUUAAGACUACUUGGUUUAGAUUUUCAUGUAAUUAAAGCAUUGUAAAUUAAUUUUGUCACUGUAUGGCAGCAGUUUUAAACAGAAACUCUAAAGUCUGUGCCAAUUUCUAAAUAAUUUCUUGUUUUUUUGUAUCGAUUUUCUUCUAUGUAAAGAAAACUUUAUUUGACUUUGAUAACCCCAUGUUUACAUAUAUUAUUGCAAAACUUGUGCUAAGUAUAAUCUUAAAAUUAAAUUUAGUAAGCAAAAUGGAUGUUUUUGUUCAUAUUUAUACAAGUUCCCGCGUAUAAAUAUAUCGUACUAAAAUCUUAUGGUGAAUUAUUUGUUAAGUCAUUUUUAAGUUUCGUUCGUUCGUUGCAAUUUUUUUUUCGUAUCUUAAGCGCGCCAAAGGUGUUGAUGGAGAGAGUUAAAAAACUCUUAGGAUUAAACUGUAUAAAUGAAAAAUAUAAAAAAAAUUACUUGAUGAUAAAAUUAAGGCUUGAUAAUGUUAUAUUAUCGGUGUCCCACAAAAUGGCGGGUUGGCGCCAAUUUUUGACAGAUGACAGUUGACAGGCAUGACGAACUGUCACAGUAAUGUUGCCAGCCUAUCCGUCAUCUUGCCGGACAAUUUUAAAACGUAGUUUCAAUAUAAUCCAGUGCAUUCAUUUUUUUGUUGUCAAUUUUUUUUUCGAUAAUUUGGUUGUUGUAAAAUAAUUAAUUAAAUAUAAAAAAAAUAAUUGAGUAGAUGUUUCGAAAGUUAGUCAAUGUAGGUAGGGUUAGGUCGAAAAUUAAGUAUAAAUUGUUUUUUUUUUUCUAAGAUUUGCUUCGUCGAAGUGAUUUAGACAGUUGUAUGUAUUGAUUCACGAUUUUUUAAAAGAAAUUUGCAUUUUAGCUGACACUGUCUUUAUGCCAGACGCAGUAUGUAAGGCUGUAAGUUAAAUAUACAUAUUAUAUUUGAGGUAAUAAAUUAAUAAUAAAACCACA
Molecule: long non-coding RNA, 4138 nt
Organism: Spodoptera frugiperda (fall armyworm)
Lineage: Eukaryota; Metazoa; Arthropoda; Insecta; Lepidoptera; Noctuidae
Exons: 3
Source: RefSeq, a predicted model, not a curated record